RNAcentral lists this ribosomal RNA (377 nucleotides) under uncultured bacterium. RNAcentral's name for it is "bacterial SSU rRNA". It matches the Rfam family "Bacterial small subunit ribosomal RNA", at positions 30 to 412 of the family's 1533-position model. The record is from RNAcentral.
AUUGAACGCUGGCGGCAGGCCUAACACAUGCAAGUCGAGCGGAAGGUUCUUCGGAGCCGAGAGCGGCGGACGGGUGAGGAGAGCGUGGGAAUCUGCCUGUAGAUGGGGGAUAGCCCGGAGAAAUCCGGAUUAAUACCGCAUAAUACCUGAGGGUUAAAGUGGAGGAUCGCAAGACUUCACGUCUACAGAUGAGCCCACGUCAGAUUAGCUAGUUGGUAGGGUAAAGGCCUACCAAGGCGACGAUCUGUAGCUGGCCUGAGAGGGUGACCAGGCCACACUGGAACUGAGACACGGUCCAGACUCCUACGGGAGGCAGCAGUGGGGAAUAUUGGACAAUGGGCGCAAGCCUGAUCCAGCCAUGCCGCGUGUGUGAAGAA